This 292-nucleotide long non-coding RNA is filed under the name Vigna radiata. RNAcentral describes it as "long non-coding RNA (VRAD_LNC014525)". The record is from RNAcentral. Lineage: Eukaryota; Viridiplantae; Streptophyta; Magnoliopsida; Fabales; Fabaceae.
GACGAUGAAUUGUUUUUCACUUCUGCUCUAUAAUGUUGUAUUAAUUGCUAGGGGAUGCUAGGGAUAGCAAGCCAAUAAUUAGUAUUAGGCUCUUUUCGCCGAGGGAUCGGGUAAAGGGUAGGCUAAGAAAGUUGCAUGACAAUUAAUUAAUCAAACUAAUAAUUCAAGAGGAGUAAUAAGAGAGAGUGGAUAAGAUGAAAUUGUAAACCCCCAACAAGUCCAUUCAUCCAUUGUUUUCUUCUCGUCAAUUGAAUCAAUCUCUUUUGCAUGCUUAUAUUUUAUUCACACAUCC